GACGAACGCUGGCGGCGUGCUUAACACAUGCAAGUCGAACGGAAAGGCCCUGCUUUUGCGGGGCGCUUGAGUGGCGAACGGGUGAGUAACACGUGAGUAACCUGCCCCUGACUUUGGGAUAACUUCAGGAAACUGGGGCUAAUAUCGGAUAGGAGCUCCUGCUGCAUGGUGGGGGUUGGAAAGUUUCGGCGGUUGGGGAUAGACUCGCGGCUUACCAGCUUGUUGGGGGGGUAGUGGCUUACCAAGGCUUUGACGGGUAGCCGGCCUGGGAGGGUGACCGGCCACAUUAGGACUGAGAUACGGACCAGACUCCUACUGGAGGCAACGGUGGAGAGUAUUUCACAGUAGACGGGAGCCUGAUACAACGACGCCGCGUGCGGGAUAACGGCCUUCGAGUUGUGAACCGCUUUCGCCUGUGACGAGGCGUGAGUGACGGUAAUGGAUAAAGAAGCACCGGCUAACUACGUG
This 468-nucleotide ribosomal RNA is filed under the name uncultured bacterium. Its description in RNAcentral is "partial 16S ribosomal RNA". It matches the Rfam family "Bacterial small subunit ribosomal RNA", at positions 28 to 507 of the family's 1533-position model. The record is from RNAcentral.